Molecule: non-coding RNA, 1466 nt
Organism: Pelobates cultripes (western spadefoot toad)
Lineage: Eukaryota; Metazoa; Chordata; Amphibia; Anura; Pelobatidae
Source: the annotation of a GenBank genome assembly
UACUGGGACCACCUCCUCUGCUGGUGGAAUUGUGUGUUUCUUUAGUAGAGAUGGGCCUAGCACUCAGAAAGAACUAGUUCCACCAAGCAGCCCCAAACCAACUCACAAAUCUGAGCUGCCUGGUGCGGUUAGAACAUCCAAUGCCAUCCAGCUUCUGUUCCAACGGGCAGUGGACAAAAAGAGAGUCAGCCAAGGGGAUCAGCUUCCUUCAGCCAGUGGGACAGAUCCUUGCGAUUCCCCCAUUAAACAAGAAAUACAUCAUGAAUACUUUCAGCAGUCACCUGUCCCUUACUGUGCUCGAUCUUCACCCAGUACACCUGCUAAUGGUGCAGACCUAGAGGGGGAUUGUAGUGAGCAGGUGACCGGAUGUAAUUUGCAGCCAGUGAUGGCUGAAUCUGACCAGACUGAGGUAUUUCCAUUCUCUCACAGUAAGGAAGACUUAUUGAACUGUGAGAAAUGUGCCCUCCUCUUACCAGUGUGGGACAUCCCAGAGCACAUGGAUUAUCACUUUGCUCAGGAAUUGCAGAACUCCUUUUCCAUCACAUCCAGCCCUGCCCAAUCCAUCCCCUUGCCCAGCCUGGCACGUACACCCACAGGCCGUCCAAAGAAUAAACCCAAGCACCAGCUGGAGUCUAGUGCCAAACGUCCUCGAAGUGAGGGAAGCAGAACUCUAGACUCAUUCUUCAAAAAACUUGGCCCAUGAAAGCACAGAUCUUUCAGUAUAUUUAGUAGUUCUAUGAUGGUCCGCCUGCCCGAAUUUAGUCCUCUCAAUCCUGGUUGUAGCCUUUCACCCUUGUUUGGAAAAUCAGACAUUGACCAUUGAAAAUGUGACGUGUUGGCUCCUCACUUGUGUGAGCACAAAUAAUCAUGCAAAAAAAUACCAAGGAUUUUUAUAAUGGAGACAUGAUUACUGCUUCUGAUAUACAUUAAAUAUUUGUAUGGUUGCCUUUAGUUUUGUGAAAAAGCUUUAGCAUGAUAUCGAGGUACGUGUCCCCUGAUCAGGAAUCUGUGUGCUGGGAAUGUUAUACUCCAAUAGUUGGAGAUAAUGUGAAUAUAAAUGGGGAUGAUUGGCAUGCCCCCAGCCCCUAUGUCGUGCUCCCUGGCAGCCAGUCUGUAACUGGCUCCAGCAGCUCCCUGGCAGACCGUCUGUAACUGGCUCCGCCUGCUCCCUGGCAGACCGUCUGUAACUGGCUCCGCCUGCUCCCUGGCAGACAGUCUGUAACUGGCUCCGCCUGCUCCCUGGCAGACAGUCUGUAACUGGCUCCGCCUGCUCCCUGGCAGACAGUCUGUAACUGGCUCCGCCUGCUCCCUGGCAGACAGUCUGUAACUGGCUCCGCCUGCUCCCUGGCAGACAGUCUGUAACUGGCUCCGCCUGCUCCCUGGCAGACAGUCUGUAACUGGCUCCGCCUGCUCCCUGGCAGACAGUCUGUAACUGGCUCCGCCUGCUCCCUGGCAGACAGUCUGUA